AUUCCAGCUCCAAUAGCGUAUAUUAAUGUUGUUGCAGUUAAAAAGCUCGUAGUUGAAUUUCUGGUUAAAAUCUUAGCUGGCUUUGGUCGUUAAUGUUUUAAUCAUCCGUUAGAGAACUAUAACCGUCCUUAACUGGUCAUUAUAGAGAUCUAACAUUUUACUUUGAAAAAAUUAGAGUGUUCAAGGCAGGCAAUCGUCAUGAAUACUAUAGCAUGGAAUAAUGGAAUAGGACUUUGGUUCAUUUUAUUGGUUAUUGAACCUUAGUAAUGAUUAACAGGGACAGUUGGGGGUAUUCAUAUUUACAUGUCAGAGGUGAAAUUCUUGGAUUUUGGAAGGAUGAACUACUGCGAAGGCAUUUACCAAGGAUGUUUUCAUCG
This 377-nucleotide ribosomal RNA is filed under the name Prostomatea sp. RNAcentral's name for it is "partial small subunit ribosomal RNA". It matches the Rfam family "Eukaryotic small subunit ribosomal RNA", at positions 582 to 975 of the family's 1831-position model. The record is from RNAcentral. Lineage: Eukaryota; Ciliophora; Prostomatea.